CAAAAAUCUUUUUUGUUUUAAUGCAUCCUUGGCCUUUUUGCAACGUUUUAAAGUCAGCUGUUUGAUAAGCUGCAAUCGAUAGUAAAAAACGCGGGAAACUGUUUUUUUACUUUGAGAGCUUACCAAAUUGAAACUAAGUUCAAAAACUGAAAUCAAAGUAAUGGAAAAGAAAGGCCAGGGUAUGUAGAGUUAUUAUAUUAAACAAAUUUGUGCUCAUGUUUUUGAAUAUGUUUUUGUGUGUAUUAAUUUGUGUCGUCCAAAGGUAGAGAAUACUUAACCAAUGUGCCCGUCUCUUAUGGUCAAUAACUAAUUUUGUGCGCAAUUGUGCGAGAAAGUAAUUAUGUAAUAUUGUAGUGCAAGCUGUGUAUAAAAUAAUCCUAAAACUUG
Drosophila miranda is the source of this 387-nucleotide long non-coding RNA. RefSeq lists it as uncharacterized. The record is from RefSeq and is a predicted model, not a curated record. NCBI's taxonomy places the organism in Eukaryota, Metazoa, Arthropoda, Insecta, Diptera, Drosophilidae. The transcript has 2 exons.